This 484-nucleotide ribosomal RNA is filed under the name uncultured bacterium. RNAcentral's name for it is "partial 16S ribosomal RNA". It matches the Rfam family "Bacterial small subunit ribosomal RNA", at positions 30 to 507 of the family's 1533-position model. The record is from RNAcentral.
AUUGAACGCUGGCGGCAGGCCUAACACAUGCAAGUCGAGCGGAGGAAGGGAGCUUGCUCCUGGAUUCAGCGGCGGACGGGUGAGUAAUGCCUAGGAAUCUGCCUGGUAGUGGGGGAUAACGUCCGGAAACGGGCGCUAAUACCGCAUACGUCCUGAGGGAGAAAGUGGGGGAUCUUCGGUCCUCACGCUAUCAGAUGAGCCUAGGUCGGAUUAGCUAGUUGGUGGGGUAAAGGCCUACCAAGGCGACGAUCCGUAACUGGUCUGAGAGGAUGAUCAGUCACACUGGAACUGAGACACGGUCCAGACUCCUACGGGAGGCAGCAGUGGGGAAUAUUGGACAAUGGGCGAAAGCCUGAUCCAGCCAUGCCGCGUGUGUGAAGAAGGUCUUCGGAUUGUAAAGCACUUUAAGUUGGGAGGAAGGGCAGUAAGUUAAUACCUUGCUGUUUUGACGUUACCAACAGAAUAAGCACCGGCUAACUUCGUG